RNAcentral lists this ribosomal RNA (251 nucleotides) under uncultured bacterium. Its description in RNAcentral is "partial 16S ribosomal RNA". It matches the Rfam family "Bacterial small subunit ribosomal RNA", at positions 88 to 339 of the family's 1533-position model. The record is from RNAcentral.
CUGACGACCGGCGCACGGGUGAGUAACACGUAUGCAACCUACCUUUUACAGGGGAAUAGCCCAGAGAAAUUUGGAUUAAUGCCCCAUAACAUUUUAAUCUCGCAUGAGAUAUAAAUUAAAGCUUUGGCGGUAAAAGAUGGGCAUGCGUUCUAUUAGUUUGUUGGUGAGGUAACGGCUCACCAAGGCUACGAUAGAUAGGGGUUCUGAGAGGAUAGUCCCCCACACUGGUACUGAGACACGGACCAGACUCC